This 402-nucleotide ribosomal RNA is filed under the name uncultured bacterium. Its description in RNAcentral is "bacterial SSU rRNA". It matches the Rfam family "Bacterial small subunit ribosomal RNA", at positions 355 to 774 of the family's 1533-position model. The record is from RNAcentral.
UGGGGAAUAUUGGACAAUGGGCGAAAGCCUGAUCCAGCCAUGCCGCGUGAGUGAUGAAGGCCCUAGGGUUGUAAAGCUCUUUCAACGGUGAAGAUAAUGACGGUAACCGUAGAAGAAGCCCCGGCUAACUUCGUGCCAGCAGCCGCGGUAAUACGUAGGCAGCAAGCGUUGUUCGGAGUUACUGGGCGUAAAGAGUGCGUAGGCGGUUUUCUAAGUUCGGUGUGAAAUCUCCCGGCUUAACUGGGAGGGUGCGCCGAAGACUGGGAAGCUGGAGUGUGGGAAAGGCAGGCGGAAUUCCUGGUGUAGCGGUGAAAUGCGUAGAUAUCAGGAGGAACACCUGCGGUGUAGACGGCUUGCUAGACCAUAACUGACGCUGAGGCACGAAAGCGUGGGUAGCAAACA